AUUAAUUUUCUUACAUCAAUUUUUUUUCUCUCUUUAAUGUGUAGAAAAUGAAAUGGAAAGAACUGCAAGCACUAUGCAAAUGAAACAUGGAAUUUCUGGUUCAUAAGAAAUUUGUGAUCAAAUUAUGAAGAAAUCUACAUUGUGAGAGAAGAGGAUAAUUUUUUGAAUGAAUUCAAUAAUAACUUGAGCAUGCACCAGAAAAGACAUUUAUUCCUAGCUAGAGCAAGUCAUACAUUGUAUAAAAAUGAUGUUGAUCAUGAUUUGAAGAAGUUUGGGGGCAGCUGAACUUUCAACAAUAAAGGAAGUUGCUAAAAUUAGCAGUAAAGUAGGAUGUAACUAUUUUAUUUCUUCUGCAUAUGUUACUUUAAGUCUGUGAUAGUAGUUUUUGUUUGUGUCACUGAAAAUGUUAUGUUUACUGACUCAUGUUUAUGUCAUUGAAGACAUGAAUAUCUUAGAAUUGAAGCUUUUGAAAAUGCAUUUGAUAAAAGUGGAGAGGGAUGCAAGU
Molecule: long non-coding RNA, 505 nt
Organism: Capsicum annuum
Lineage: Eukaryota; Viridiplantae; Streptophyta; Magnoliopsida; Solanales; Solanaceae
Exons: 3
Source: RefSeq, a predicted model, not a curated record